AUGGCAGCAAAUGUAAUACUUAGCUUCAACAAGCUGAGAUACAAGGAUGGAAAAGGAGAUCCACGGGGUUUCGUUACUUUUCUGGAGAGGAAGAAACUCCCUCGGGGAAUUCUACCUCGCUAUCGAGGCAACAGGCUACACAUCCUUUUCCACAAUGCGGCAAUACUAAUAGAGCACCAUGACAUCUUCUCAGAGUUUCUGAAAGACAGCCCAUCGCUUGGUGGCCUGAGAGCAAGCCUUCAGACGGAUUUCUCCAGCGACAGACUUAUAAUUGAACUACAGGUACUAGGGCUCAUAGGAAAACACCUCACAGGACCAUGGAUGGCUAAAUUCUACACAGCGCAUGAUUCAGACAUUAGUCACAUCGAUGCCAUUGACAUUGUGAAGCAGGUCAUUGGCAGACUGAAGAAUACUUCGAAGGACCCGACUACUAUCUUAUCCAGUACGGAAGAUUUCUUUGGCCAGGCAAUUCAAUUGGACAGAACUUCAGAAAAGUUGAGGGCUGUUCCUUCUCAUCAUUCGUUUGUCCCCAUGAUGUCGUCCUGUUUGCAAGCGACCGUUGCUGUCCUUGAGCGGCAAUAUGAGAGGUAUUUCUCAAUGGAUAUUACUGAAAAGCUUCGUGAGGAAACUGCUUCGGUGAAAUGCCACAACAUGGAUGCCGAGGAGUUAAUAGGAAUGUUUAGUCCUCUACAGAGCAAAACGCUUAAUGCCACGGUCAGUUUCCUCUCAGCUAGAAUGAGAGCAUCCAAAAACAAGACCGUGGAUUAUUUGGAGGAACUGGAUGACGAAAGAAGAGAACAUGUGUUGGAAAAAGCAAUAAGACUGGGACGACUGCAGAGGGACAGUAAGAGGGCGACAGAGAAGGAACUUAGGCAGGAGCUGAUGAAGCGGCAAAGGGAUAAAGAACAAAAGAGAAACGACGCAGAGAGGAAGAAAGUUGAGAAGACCCUAAAGCAGCAAGGACUGGAAGCAACAAGAAAGGUAUUCCCCGCAUUAAAUUAUAGCCACCUGGACCGCGUCUCGGAGAUCCUGGAAGGAAGAGUGGUUGGGAAAACAAUUUGCCACCUAUAG
Molecule: long non-coding RNA, 1071 nt
Filed under: Scleropages formosus (Asian bonytongue)
Lineage: Eukaryota; Metazoa; Chordata; Actinopteri; Osteoglossiformes; Osteoglossidae
Description: lncRNA (ENSSFOG00015031856.1)
Source: RNAcentral